RNAcentral lists this unclassified non-coding RNA (228 nucleotides) under rhizosphere metagenome. Its description in RNAcentral is "partial ribosomal RNA internal transcribed spacer region". The record is from RNAcentral.
GAAAGCUAGAGCGAGGUUGUAGCUGGCCCCCCCCCCGGGGGCAACGUGCACGCCUUGUCUCCAUCUUCAUCUCUCUCUCACCCCUGUGCACCUCUGCGUGGGUUCGGAGCGUUGGUUCGCUUCGGGCUUGCGUCAUUUUCUACAACAAACCCCCCAUCGUAUGUCUCGGAACGUUUUAUACAAAAAUAAAAAACUUGUACAACUUUCAACAACGGAUCUCUUGGCUCU